This 518-nucleotide ribosomal RNA is filed under the name uncultured Flavobacterium sp. RNAcentral's name for it is "bacterial SSU rRNA". It matches the Rfam family "Bacterial small subunit ribosomal RNA", at positions 8 to 527 of the family's 1533-position model. Lineage: Bacteria; Pseudomonadati; Bacteroidota; Flavobacteriia; Flavobacteriales; Flavobacteriaceae. The record is from RNAcentral.
AGGGUUUGAUCAUGGCUCAGGAUGAACGCUAGCGGCAGGCUUAACACAUGCAAGUCGAGGGGUAUAGUUCUUCGGAGCUAGAGACCGGCGCACGGGUGCGUAACGCGUAUGCAAUCUACCUUUUACAGAGGGAUAGCCCAGAGAAAUUUGGAUUAAUACCUCAUAGUAUGUGAGAAUCGCAUGGUUUUCACAUUAAAGUUCCAACGGUAAAAGAUGAGCAUGCGUCCCAUUAGCUAGAUGGUAAGGUAACGGCUUACCAUGGCGACGAUGGGUAGGGGUCCUGAGAGGGAGAUCCCCCACACUGGUACUGAGACACGGACCAGACUCCUACGGGAGGCAGCAGUGAGGAAUAUUGGACAAUGGGCGCAAGCCUGAUCCAGCCAUGCCGCGUGCAGGAUGACGGUCCUAUGGAUUGUAAACUGCUUUUGUACAGGAAGAAACACUCCCUCGUGAGGGAGCUUGACGGUACUGUAAGAAUAAGGAUCGGCUAACUCCGUGCCAGCCGCCGCGGUAAUACA